AGAAUCUAGAUUUCUUAGGGUGUUUUCUGUGGUUUCUUUUCUAAAAAGGUAAUGAAUAAGGAAAACAGAAGAGUCAAUUGACUCAUAGAUACAUGAUCUAUCCGAAAAAAAUUAACUUAGGUAUUAUAGAGAGGAAACAUGUUUCUUUAAGUAAAAGUGCUUUCUUAACAAUCUUUCAAAACUGAAUAUUAGAGUUUGUCUUAAUUAACAACCAAAAUUCCCCAAGCAUGUGAAUAAAACUUGGCAGCUUUUUAAAGACAAUUGGUGUACUCUCAUAACAAAAUUUACUACAUGAUUUAUUU
This 302-nucleotide long non-coding RNA is filed under the name Bos taurus (domestic cattle). RNAcentral's name for it is "long non-coding RNA NONBTAT026318". The record is from RNAcentral. Lineage: Eukaryota; Metazoa; Chordata; Mammalia; Artiodactyla; Bovidae.